ACAUUAAUGGAUAUCAUUAUCGCCAAACAGGGCUCAAUAUAGUAGCAACGUCUAGAGAAACAAAGCUAGGAAAUUCAUUUAUAUUCACUAUAAGGUCCUCCUCCUCAAGAUCAAUAUGAUCUCCCUAACCCUAAGUCAUGUCAGCUAGCAUCGAGAGGGAAAGAAAAAUUCCAAGCUGCCUUCCUUGCACGAUCUCUAUCCCUGCAGGCUCAGCGUGUAUAUAUAAGGGAGGAAAGGAGAAAGCAAACUGAUCAUAUGCAUGCCUAGAUACAUGAGUACCCAUGCGUGCAUGCGAGCUAAAUUUGUAAGGAGAAAGAGGAGGAAGAGAGCUCAAGGAUCUAUUGAUCUUCAUACAAGGUAACAUGUCGAUUAAUUCCCUACUAUCUCUUUAAUUUCUUGCAAUAAUGACACCCCAAAAGCCAAAAUGUGAUAGCCAACAUAUAUAAAUAUAUAUAUAUGUGUGUGUAUAGAGGCAAAGAUGAGUUGGCUUUAUCAAAGGCCAGCCCAGCUAUUUUGCCUCUAUAUAUACACAUAUAUAUAUACAUAUAUAUAUUUAUAUAUAUCUUUCGGCUUCUUUCCUUUGCUCCAGCAUUGACAAGGCCAACUCAUGCAUGUCUGCGUUUGGAAUUAGCUAGGUUUUUGGGACCCUCAAACUGAUCUAUUCACCAGCCGGGUUAAUUCCUAGCUAUUUUGUUUUGCAGAAUGUUUCGUACGUAAACUUGAUAGCUAGUGUGGAAUAUUUUAUAUCAUCAACUGAUCAAUAAAUAUUUAAGCAGCAAAUUAAGGAAAGGUAUAAAUUAUUACAAAUAAUUCUGGUGCUCAGGGCCUCAGAUCACCAUGCAUGCUUGUUUCAUUGCAUUAAGUACACGUACUGCAUAAAUAUCUUGAUGGUUCGUGACCUUUAUCUAUGAUUUAAUUUCAGUUUCAACUUAAUCUCGUAGUUAAUUAAUUAGCUUAUUAUAGACAAAAUAUAAAUAUAAUCUAGCAAAUUGAAAAAUACUUCCCGAAACGAUUGCAGGCAGACAGCAAUAUCAGAAAGUUAAUAUAUGCAUGCAGUGGCUGCAAAAGUGAUUGAACGGAUCGACUGAACCUACGAAGUGCCUCAUGCAUGCGGGUGGUUGUAUACAUACAUAUCUAUAUAACUCCAAAAAGAAAAGAAAAAGAUUCUCUCGGUUUGAUUCAUAAAUGCUAAUUGAACAGAACCAACACUCUAGCUCUCCCCCUGAUCUACUCCAUAAAUGCUACAUUAAAAGCUCCAUCUUUGAUCUUUGUCCCGGUCCGUGAGCUUUUUCACGAUUCCUGUACCUUCUUAAAUUAAUACUCCAACUUCUUUUUUGUUGGGUGGUUGGAAAUUUAAAUGCAACAUCUUCAAUGCUACAUCACCGGCCAUCUAUUUUUGUUUGCAUAUCGGAAGUCAUGACCUUCUUUAAGACAUGGGUGUCUGAUCAUCUGCUCUCUAUGUCUCGUUUUAAUUUGUCGAUCCAUGACCAUGCACCUCCCCUGGCCACUACUUCUCGCCCUCCUCGCACAGCUAUCGAUCAGAGCUAAGCACUUCUCGCUUCCAUUUAAGAACUGCAUUUUCUCCAUAUAUACCCGAAGACUUUUCUCGUAACUAGGUUUUGGUAUCAUGUAUUGAUACCUUGUACUUAGUAUUAUUACUAACCACCUUGUUUAUUGUUGUUGUGUUUGUUUUUAUAUUAUUGCAGACCAUAUAGUACUGUUGCUCAGGAUAUGUGAAUAUGCAUGGUGAUGGAGAAUAAUUAUGAAUAAGUUUAACGGGAUAUUGGUCCGGUUCAAUAAGAAAUCUGUGCCCAAAAUGUUUCGGGCCCUGCUUUUUGAUUGAGCCGCGCCAAUAUCACGUUCCACCGCUCCCAAGCAGCCCUAGUGAGUCGAGUCUUUGUAUAUAUCUGUUUUAUCACAAGGGUUCAAACUCUUCGUUCUUAGCUAGUCUCGGUUGGGUUGGUAAACCCACUGGAUAUGGAAGGUAAAUUUGGUUUCAGUUUUCAUGUUCAGUACAUUUCGAAAGUAGCUGAGAUGCUUAAUUGGCAGGUUGUACGCGUACGUUGAUGCUGGAAACACAGCAGCCACAUUCAUGUUUAGGUGAGAUAUGCUAGCUUGAAGUUAGUUGAUAUCAGUCGAGGCUUUAAGCUGCUUAUUUACUACUCACAUUUUGCAGUACUAGAGAAGAAAAAAAGUAUAUAUGGAGCUUUAAAGAGUACUCGAGAUUGGUUUUGAAAGUUGAGGGUUUAAGAUUAAUACAGUUGCUGUUACCCAUUGUUCUUUUUGGAGAAAGAUAGUCAGAACAGGAUAAGAUCAUGAUCAGCUAGGCCAAAGCUGGCCAGUUUGGUAUCAUGUACCUGUCUAAUGUACUCUAUAUAUAAUAAACAUCUGGCCAGUUUGCAA
Long non-coding RNA from Carya illinoinensis, 2403 nucleotides. RefSeq lists it as uncharacterized. Lineage: Eukaryota; Viridiplantae; Streptophyta; Magnoliopsida; Fagales; Juglandaceae. The transcript has 2 exons. The record is from RefSeq and is a predicted model, not a curated record.